RNAcentral lists this small nucleolar RNA (120 nucleotides) under Echinops telfairi (small Madagascar hedgehog). Its description in RNAcentral is "Small nucleolar RNA SNORA61 (ENSETEG00000024462.1)". Lineage: Eukaryota; Metazoa; Chordata; Mammalia; Afrosoricida; Tenrecidae. The record is from RNAcentral.
AUCUUUCACAUUCCAUAUCCAUCAGAUAUAAACACUAGUCUGAGUGGUUCUAAAAGGAGGAAAAGUAAAAUUGAAACUGACUUAAAUCAUUUUGUGACACACAGCUAGUUAAAAAAAAAA